Long non-coding RNA from Triticum aestivum (bread wheat), 3278 nucleotides. RefSeq lists it as uncharacterized. Lineage: Eukaryota; Viridiplantae; Streptophyta; Magnoliopsida; Poales; Poaceae. The record is from RefSeq and is a predicted model, not a curated record. The transcript has 2 exons.
UAAAAAACGAAUCCCUCGUUCACAGGAUCCGGAUGGACGCAACUUCCGGUCUCCUCUGUCUUUAGGCGAGCGUGCUCAAAAUCCCCCUCGACCCCGGCUGCAUCAGGCGACUCCGCGACCCCACCGCCGGCCUCCGCCCUCCCCGCACCGGCGACCUCCCCCUCCUCUCCCUUCCCUUCCCUUCCCCCAUAUCGAGAAGGGAGGCCAUGGUGCUCCCAACAUGGCUGUAUCUAGACCAAGCCCGUGGGGUUCCAGCUCGACCUCCUCGCAGCGACCACGGCGGCAGGAUCCGCGGAUCCAUGGCCACGGCGGUGCGAGCGCGCAGACGCAGCCUUCAGAAGAGAGGAGGCAUGUCGGCCAUGGCGUUCCCGCCGCAGCCGGGUCACUGGCUCCACCACGAGCUCCUCGCAGUUGUCAGUGACGACGGCGGCUCCGAACCCUAGCGGACGCUCCUGCUCGUCUUCCUCCACACCUCUGCUCGUGCCCGUCUUCCUCGGCGCCAUAUUCAGCACCUACAAGAACGCAGCUUCCUCUCCCGCGACAGGGGAUGGUAACUCCUCAAACCCCCCAUCCUUCCCUUCCACUCUGCUCUGAUGCAACAUUUUCUCUUUUUUUCAUGAUUCACCACUCGUAAUGGACUUGCAAGCAGGAGGGACGUGGGUCAGGCAUCUGAACUUGUCAAAUCUUGGUCUGAAGGGAAUGUUAUCUCCUGAGGUUGGACAGCUUACUAAUAUGCAUUUUCUAUAAGCAUAUUCUAUAGUUCCUCUGGUGACGUUUGUUUCUGAACACUUUGGUUUUGACAUAACAUGUUUCACGCUUUCAACCAUAAGAUAGUAUUUGGUAUUUCUGAAACUACCAACUGAAUAAGAGUCAUUUUGCACUUCGAUAUAGGCUAUCAUGUUGAGCACAGUAGUAAAGCUGAAACUUCGUAGUGUGUAUGUUUUCCUGAUGAGGCUUAUGACCUCAGCUUUUGAGCUGUCAAUUAAGGCACAUCAAUCAACUUGGUGUAUGUUCUUUCUUGGAGUGUAGUUGGAUACAAGACAGGUGUUUCUUCUUGGAUCUACGGGACUUUUGAGAAUACAAUUUUGCAUGGAUCAAAUUCAAAUACCACCCAGUGCUUUAUGUAGUUUUCCUAUUGUUAAUACCAUAGUAAAUCUAUCUGUUGAAUUAUGUAUGCCCAUUCAGGCACUCACCAAGAAAGCAUCUUAUGUCUACAGAUAUUAUUUUUUGUAUCUUAUGUACUUGUGAAAUGAUGUUCGCCCUUCAAAAUUUUCUGAUCUAUUUUCCUUCCAUCCAUAGUGUACUGCACAGGAACUUGUUCUAUGGUAUUAUCCCUAGAGAGAUGGGAGAUUUACGAGAGCUGAAGGUGUUGGAUCUGGGGUACAAUAACUUCAAUGGACCAAUUCCAUCAGAGCUAAUAAACAUUUUAUCCCUGGAAUUUAUGUGCGUGCGAACUUUGAUACUCCCUCCGUUCGUUUUUAUAAGGCGUUUCAGACAGCUGAGUUUGAACUGUUUAGUACACUGUCUGAAUUUACUAAAACGUCUUAUAUAAGUGAACAGAGGGAGUAUAUGUUUCUUUUUCAUUUCUGUUUAACUUCAAAACUUGACUGACCUUACUAUUUGAAUUGCAGCUUUCUUAAAAGAAACAGACUUUAUGGUGAUUUACCUCUUGAACUAAAUGAGCUCAUCAGUCUGUGUGAGUCUCAGGUUCGCCACGGCAGGACUUUCUCAAAUAGGAUGCCCGCUGCAAGGUUUGUCUAAGUUUUCUUCUACUUGCAUAUCUGAGAGUUAAACUCGUGAUUAUGCAAGGCUUGAGUUAAAUUUUCAAAUCAAAUAGGGAUUUGAGCAAGCUUGAUUUUGGUUAAAAAAUCCCACCCUGUUCCUGCAAUCACAUGUAUGUUAAUGAUAUCUGAAAUAUUUGAGAAUUAUCUGUUUCGACUCAAGAAAUAUCAGACUUCUUUUAGGAACAUUUCCUCCACAAAAUGGUAAAUUAUAUCCGAGUCGGCAUCCCUGAAACCCAGCCCAAAUCCACAUAUAACCUCACUCCGGAUGAACCCUAGACCCAAAUCUCUUGACAAUGCCAUGUUGAAAGAUAGGCUUGCUAAGAUUCGGCUCAAGAAUUCCUGAGGGUACUUCUGUCUUUAUCAUAUUUGUUCUCACACCUUGGGCGUUGUGUUUUCCCGCCGCAACGCACGCGUCGACCCGCAGUCCUCAUGUUAAGUGAACCAGAAGCGGUACAUGCGAGAGAAAAGAAAAACACACCCAACCACCUGCACGACCCUUCCUCUCGAUCCCAUCUGGACCUUUAGUAUUCUCGGGAUAUAUCUGAUUAUGAUGAUGUUCCGUACUGCUCUGGAGCCGACAACUUUUUGGACUGCUCGAUGUUUAUAACCAAUGAGACUACUUUUUUGGUUGUUGGCUGGAGGCUGGAGCUAUCACUGUGACUGAAAUUUUCUUUUCACCAAAGUAAUAUUAUAUGGUCAUCAAAAACCAAUGACAGGUCAACACUUGUCAGCAGUUUGCAAUUUGUAUUACAGUAUGCGUAAGCCAAUGGUCAGACAUUGUUGUUUUAGUUAGGAAAUGUAGAAAACGUGUUCAUGAUUUAUGUAGAUUGGAUAGUCCCUUCAAACUGCAGUAUUCGAUCUUGAGCGGACAAUCUAACUAUAUGUUUCCUUAUAGAAAAUUGACUAUAUGUUCCAUGAAUUGACUGAUUAGUUUGGCACGAUCAGAUUAAACUAGGUCUUGAUUUGAAGGUCCAGUUAGGGCAGCUGGUGCUGGUUUGUUUAUUGUAAUACUAACUAUGCCAUUUAGACAGAGACAUGUGGUCUUUCUCAUUCCUCGACAUUUCCUUUGCUACCAAGAUUUUUCAUUCUAGGUUGUGGAAAAACGGAUGUAGCAUUCCUUCUACAAGUUGUCAUGAGCUGGGACAUAGAAGAAGAGAGCCGACAUAGAAGAAGAGAGCCGACGAGAAGUUGCACAGCGGUUCGCUCCGGUGUCGCUGCCAAUGGCGUUGCGCAAAGUGCAGAUUGCAGGCUAGAUGCGUACGAGUCCAUCCCUACGUCCAUGAUGUUGAAGCAUAGGAAAUCAAGUCAAUUAGAUAGUAUAUCUGGUUCUGAAAGUUGUCUUUUGUGUAGUAUAUCUGGUUAUGAAAGUUGUCUUUUGUGUACGCAGUUUUGCCAUUAUUUUGUAAAAGCUUUGAGUUUUUGAUAAUAUAAUUGUCUUACUAAUAACACUUUUAAUCAAUUCAUACCAAGGCUAAUAGCCAAGUUAUGCACAAA